Molecule: ribosomal RNA, 265 nt
Filed under: Staphylococcus aureus
Lineage: Bacteria; Bacillati; Bacillota; Bacilli; Caryophanales; Staphylococcaceae
Description: partial 23S ribosomal RNA
Rfam family: Bacterial large subunit ribosomal RNA
Source: RNAcentral
AGCUUUACUGUAGCCUGAUAUUGAAAUUCGGCACAGCUUGUACAGGAUAGGUAGGAGCCUUUGAAACGUGAGCGCUAGCUUACGUGGAGGCGCUGGUGGGAUACUACCCUAGCUGUGUUGGCUUUCUAACCCACACCACUUAUCGUGGUGGGAGACAGUGUCAGGCGGGCAGUUUGACUGGGGCGGUCGCCUCCUAAAAGGUAACGGAGGCGCUCAAAGGUUCCCUCAGAAUGGUUGGAAAUCAUUCAUAGAGUGUAAAGGCAUA